UAUAUAUUGAAGAAGCAGUACUUUGAUCCAGUGAAUAAAACUCUAGAUCAAAAUUAUGAUAGUAUUCCUGAUGGAAUAUCUAGUAGCAGUUGGAAUGAUUUGGUCAAUUAUUGGUUUUCACUAAAGGGCACGAAAUUAUCUCAACUUGGAAAAGAUGCUCGAGCAGUACGAGGUCAUAUUCACAACAGUGGUCCUACAAGCUUUGCUAAUCGAAGAGAAGAUCUUAAAGAGAAGAAGGGAGAGUAUAGCGAAUUGACGUUUUACAAAUCAAUUUAUGCCAAAGAAGAUGGAAGCUUUAAAGAGGGCACAAUAUCUCGUCAAAUUAUGG
Spinacia oleracea (spinach) is the source of this 328-nucleotide long non-coding RNA. RefSeq lists it as uncharacterized. Lineage: Eukaryota; Viridiplantae; Streptophyta; Magnoliopsida; Caryophyllales; Amaranthaceae. The record is from RefSeq and is a predicted model, not a curated record. The transcript has 3 exons.